CCAAUAGCGUAUAUUAAAGUUGUUGCAGUUAAAAAGCUCGUAGUUGAAUUUCGGGACCAAUAUGUCGGUCGUGCUUCGGUACGUACUUGCAUCAUUGGUUUCUCCCUUCUGAGGAACCAUGAUGUCAUUAAUUUGGUGUCGUGGGAAAUCAGGACUGUUACUUUGAAAAAAUUAGAGUGUUUAAAGCAGGCUCGCGCUUGAAUACAUUAGCAUGGAAUAAUGAAAUAGGACGUUUGAUUCUAUUUUGUUGGUUUCUAGGAUCUACGUAAUGAUUAAUAGGGAUAGUUGGGGGCAUUAGUAUUCAAUUGUCAGAGGUGAAAUUCUUGGAUUUAUUGAAGACUAACUACUGCGAAAGCAUUUGCCAAGGAUGUUUUCAUUAAUCAAGAACGAAAGUUAGGGGAUCAAAGACGAUCAGAUACCGUCGUAGUCUUAACCAUAAACUAUGCCGACUAGGGAUCGGAUGAUGUUAAUUUUUUAAUGACUCAUUCGGCGCCUUACG
RNAcentral lists this ribosomal RNA (499 nucleotides) under uncultured Glomeromycotina. RNAcentral describes it as "partial small subunit ribosomal RNA". It matches the Rfam family "Eukaryotic small subunit ribosomal RNA", at positions 591 to 1092 of the family's 1831-position model. Lineage: Eukaryota; Fungi; Glomeromycota. The record is from RNAcentral.